RNAcentral lists this ribosomal RNA (274 nucleotides) under uncultured bacterium. RNAcentral describes it as "partial 16S ribosomal RNA". It matches the Rfam family "Bacterial small subunit ribosomal RNA", at positions 523 to 796 of the family's 1533-position model. The record is from RNAcentral.
AUACGAAAGGUGCAAGCGUUGUUCGGAUUUACUGGGCGUAAAGAGAGUGUAGGUGGUUUAUUAAGUCGGAUGUGAAAUCCCGGGGCUCAACCUCGGAACUGCAUUCGAUACUGAUAGGCUAGAGUUUGGGAGGGGUAAGCGGAAUUCCGUGUGUAGCAGUGAAAUGCGUAGAUAUACGGAGGAACACCUGAGGCGAAGGCGGCUUACUGGACCAAUACUGACACUGAGACUCGAAAGCGUGGGUAGCAAACAGGAUAAGAAACCCCAGUAGUCC